UUACUGAAUUGUCAACAAGAGUUGUUGCUGGUCCCCAGAUGGGGGCAUGUGCACGCUCUGUUAACACAUCCACUCACACCCUGUGCACCCUCUGUAGUUCUAUGGUUGGGGGGACCCCGUCCUCUCCUGCUGUGGUUCUGCAUCUUUACAUACACACUGUAAAAAAGUCUUAUGGAAUGCAUGCUGCGUUUAACGCAAUAAAAUACAACUUUCAGCAACGGAUCUCUUGGCUCUCGCAUCGAUGAAGAACGCAGCGAAAUGCGAUAAGUAAUGUGAAUUGCAGAAUUCAGUGAAUCAUCGAAUCUUUGAACGCACCUUGCGCCCUUUGGUAUUCCGAAGGGCAUGCCUGUUUGAGUAUCAUGAACACCUCAACUCUUCAUGGUUUUCCGUGACGAGCUUGGACUUUGGGGGUCUUGCUGGCCUACGGUCGGCUCCUCUCAAACAAAUCAGCUUGCCAGUGUUUGGUGGGCAUCACAGGUGUGAUAACUAUCUACGCUUGUGGUUUUCCACCAGCUAACCUUCAGCAGUGGAGGUUCGCUGGAGCUCACAGACGUCUCUCCUCAGUGAGGACAGCCCUUUGAAUGUUUGAUCUCAAAUCAGGUAGGACUACCCGCUGAACUUAA
This 623-nucleotide ribosomal RNA is filed under the name uncultured Tomentella. Its description in RNAcentral is "eukaryotic LSU rRNA". The stretch from base 207 to 360 matches the Rfam family "5.8S ribosomal RNA". Lineage: Eukaryota; Fungi; Basidiomycota; Agaricomycetes; Thelephorales; Thelephoraceae. The record is from RNAcentral.